UUGUCAAACCUGCAUCCUGAGCAAAUAAAUUACCUGAUUCCGAAGCAAGAAUAUAGCCUCCAAGCCUGUCCGAGCCUAGAUUCGCCAGCCCAAAAAUCCAGCCUGCCCAAUUCUGAUAUCUCCUCCUAAGCAAACCUCGUCGACUAUCAGCCUUUCCCAGCGUCAGCUCGACGCUGCACAAGACUAGCAUACUACAAUAGAAUUGAAAGCACCUGUUAUUUGCCAUUGCUUUGCACAGUCUUUGAAUUCAAGCGCUUGGGGUUGUGAUCGGCCAUAUCAAUUGUGACGGUUCGUAAGUAUAUACCUUUUCUUGAUUUGUGGGUUGAGCCAGUAUUAUAUGCACUUGUACUCCUGCAGGUUAUAUUUUGGGUGUUUGAUGCAAGUGAUGAUCGGGUUUGGUUUGGUUGUGAAAAUGUCUUCCGCUGGUAUCAUUAUAUAUAAAGGUCGUCAAAAAUCAGACCCAAUAUUGCACACACUCUUGUUUGGUCAUAGAUAUUUUUGUGUUCUGCCUUAAUUUAUUGUCAAGAUAUUGGUGGUGUUUGAUGCGAGUGAUCAUUGUUUUUAGUUUGGUAUUGAGAGUUUUUCCGCUGGUAUAGUUAUAGAGGUUGUCAAUCUGGAAGUGGUUUUGGUUAAGCAUGUUGAUGGUAAAAAUGAGAAAUCAGAGGUCUCAUCACUUGUCCCCUUCUCUCCUAUUGUCUUUAAGUCCACCAUUUUUUACAAUUUGGGGUCUCCUGCCUGCAAUUUAGUGUUGCUUAUAACGAAUGCCCACUAAAUUUUAACUUACAAGGUUCCUAAUUUGCAAACACCUUUUCAUGUGUAAGAUAGGUUCUCUAUGAGUUCCAAGAGAAUUGAUGUCUAUCUCACACAUAUGUGUAACCUUUUACAGGGUUAUUAAUGGUCCUUCUUAACAGGAUUGAUGCUGUUGGUGGCCUCAGGGGCUAAGCUAGAGUAAUUCUCUGAAAUUCUAAAAGUCAUUUUGGAUUAAUCACUAUUGGUUAACCGCCAUUGCUCAUGUAACUUGUGUAUUCCCUUUCUGGUCUGAUCGAUGAUCCCACCAAGCUCCCAAAAUGGAAUUUUGUUGGAUCUUGGAUUUCGCCAAUCUCUUACAUUUGUUCUGCUUACUACCAUUUUUAUGCAUUGCAAGGUUCGUGCCUUCCUGAAUGCAUACCUUGUUGUUGCACAGCUUUUUUCUUUGUGCUACCUGUAAUUAUCAGAUUAUAUAGGCCAAAAAAAUCAGUUUGAAAUUACAGUUAUACCCAUGAUAUGCUGGACGAUCAGUGUUCUCAAUCAUAUUGGAUGGAAUUCCUUCAGCUGUUGAUUAUUCUUGUACAGCCUAUUGGAUCGUCUCAGUUUUUGAUUGCAUCGUCAAGGUAUAUAUGUCUUCUCCGGUUGGCGCUUACACUACCUUGUAUAUCUGUACACACUGGUGUCCUUGUUCGAUGCACCAGGUGUUUGAGUAUGAAUACCCAGAGGAUCAAAAUAAAGUUAGAUUUCCAGAAUUUGCUUAGACCUUCGUGCGCACUAACCAUUGGUACUCUAUUUACAUUGUUUUGUGCUGCACUUCUAAUACCUUAUUACUGUCACCAUUUUUCAGGAUAGUAUUGCUUGUAUAUUUUUAUUUGUGGGAUCAUUUGUUAGCUGAAGGAUUUUAAGUUGUAUGCAAUCUAAUGUGCGGGGAUGGGAUUAUGACCAGGUUAUUUAUAAGUCGUUAAAGCUGUUUGAAAGCGACUGAACUUUUAGAUAGAUGCAUCCUUGGGGUUUUAUAAUUGUGUUGGCUUAUAUUGAUAUUGACAGAUAUGUGAAAGAAGAUACAAACUAUCUGCUGUAGAUCUAUAAUCUGAUGAAAUAGAGCUUUCUCAUUUUCUACUGAAUUUGAGACUUCUGAUAUCUCUUUUAUCGAAACAAGAUGUCAAUCUAUCUUUUAUGAGCUUCAUGUAGUUGUUUGUAAUUUUGCAGAGGAGUUCAUUAUUUCUGAGGUUAGUACGCUUAUGUGUUCUAAUCAGUAUACAAAUAUGAGAUUGCUUUGCAGAAUAUGAACAAGAUAUAUAUCAAUAGUGCAGCAGCAUAAAGCCUUUAUCGACCAAAAUGUUUUGUCAGGUUACUAUUUAGUUCAUCCUUGAAAUUACUGUUUCCAGAUGAUUACAAGAAUGAAGGGGAUGUGCUACACUGCUACCAGAUGAAAUCUAAAUCAGGACAUGCUAAUAAAAAUGGUCCUCUCAUUACUAUUAUCAAGGUAAUUGUCAUGUUAUAUAUUACUACAUAUAUGGUUUCCUGUUCCUAGCGAUUACAUGUUUAGAGCCUUGGUGGAAAUUAACAUAUUUUAUUAUUAUUGGUGUCCAAAGAUAGAGUAGAUGAUCUCAUUAUAACUUCUCCAGUUGUACAUAGUAGAAAUAAUAAGACCAAUUACCAUCUCACUAGGAUAUUAGUAACAUAACAAAAAGAAAUUGGUAGUUUAGUUUGCUUAAAAGUUCUUCUACCAAUAAUAUACGCUCGAUAACCUCUAUCUUCUCACCUCCAAAGUCUAUUUCUGAUUAUCUGUAUAAAGUAUAAUGUUAGAGAAGGCUGGAGCCUUUCUGCCAAGCUGGGACUUGCUCAUCUUUUCUUGAAAAUAAAACGUCGCUAAUUAUCACGGUUUCGUCUUCAUUCCCUGAUCUUGUCAGGAAUACAAUAUAUUUACAUUUUAUGGGUCUUUUUAUUAAUUUCUUUAGAUGAUUGCAUGUGCCAAUAUAGGGAUCACAAUUGCUUCCUCAUGUGUUUCUUUAUCUGAUGUCAACCACUUCUUGGUGAGGUAGGUUGAAAAGAAAAUUCACUUAAAAACUGAAAACUAUAUCUGAUGGUUAUUAAAGUAAUGCAAUAUUAAUAUAUGGUAUAUGCUGGUUAGCUUGUGAUUAUAGGCAUGUCCUUUGCUAUUUUAAUGCAUUUAUACUUAUUCUUGUUUAAGGUGCAUAUAUGCAUGAUCUUUACAAACUCUAAUGCAGUAUAUGUGAAGAACGUGUGGAUAAUGUAUAUAACUUGAAUAGAAGCCACUGAGUUGGGGUUUUCUAUGUUAUGUUUAAUUGGGUACGGGUCCAUUAUUUAAUGUUACUUCUUCGGUUAAAUAUUUGUAAAGACUGUGACUGAGAGCUUUGAACUCACAUCUCAAAGCUUAGAUCGACAAAGCUUUGUAUCUUCUUCCGAUCAGAACUCCUCUAUCAUGUCGGUGCCAAUUCUUCUGAGGUAAAACCCAAAUUCUUUUUUUCCUCCUCCUGAUUGUUUGGUCAUCAGGUUUAUUAUUUUUGGGGUCUUGAAUAUCUCUUGCACUUGCCUUUUAAUUUGAUAUGGGGUGUGUGAAAAUUAGCUUUCUUGAUGUUUAGGAGUCUGUUUAAAAGGAAUGAAUUGCUCAGAUCUUAGUUUGCCGUAUAUGGAGGCUCCCACAGUGUCACUCUAGGUUAGAUUAUGAAUUGAGGUGGUAACCGCUUUCAGGGUUCUAUCAGCUUGCCCUGCAAUUUGAUUUGGGGUUAAUAAGGGUAAAAUGUUAGCAUGUGAUGGCUUUACGUGUACGUGUAUGCAGUGGCAUGCGCUUAAAUAUGAGUUUAAUAGUUCUUGAAUGAUUUGAUCGAGUGAGUUCCAAGUUCUGCUACUCCUACAAAUAUUUAUAUUCAUAUCACACAGUGUGUUACUCUUUUGUGGAGAAUUUUAUAUAAUAGCAGUUCAAAUUCUUUCCAACUCCGCAAUUUUGUUUUUGCAUAGGUAGUUUCUUUUUGUUUGUGUUAAUUUAUCAGUCCUCAAGCAAUAUAAGUAUCCAUUCAGAAGGGGUAACCACAUAUUGGUAAGUCAAGUUCACUUUAUUUUGUCUAAACCAUUUUAAUGUUAACUUGCACAAAAGAAAUUAUAAUGAAAAACAAACAACCUGGUUUGGACUUGUAGUGUACAAGAUUAACUGGUGAAGCCAAUAAUUAUCGGUCCAUUUCCUAUACAGGUCAUGUGCGAUACCUACACACCAGCUCAUGAACCAAUUCUUGCAAACAAGAGAUGUAAUGCGGCUAAGAUUUUGAGCCACCCUGAUUUGCAGCUGAAGUUCCUUGGUUCGGUAUUGAGCAAGAAUACACCCUGUUGAAGAAAGAGGUCAACUGGCCUAUUGGGUGGCCUAUCGAAGGAUGUCUAGGACGGCAGGGUCCUUACAACUGUGGUAUUGGUGCUGAUAAAGCUUUUGGACGGGACAUAGUUGAUGCUCAUUACAAAGCAUGUCUAUAGGCUGGUAUUAACAUAAGCGGCAUAAAUGGGGAGCUUAUGCCUGGACAGAUAUUGCUUCUGAUCUUCGCGCCAAGUGGUGGGAUAACAGCCGUUCAUCCAUGGCGAAAGAAUACAUAAACAUCUUCAGUGGGAUCAACUAAAACAUCUGCUUCAAUCUGGAAAGGAGAAGGUGCAUGUUUCCUUGGUAAUACAAUCUUUUCAUGGUCAGGCCAGAGUGAGAGGAAAAAUAUCUGCUGGUCUGUUUCUGUCUGAGCACAUGCAAACCUCCACCUCGACAAGACUCCAUAACUACAAAUGACAAUUAAUCUGAAACAAACUAUGUGUAAAGUAGGCAGAAAAGGAAGGUCCGUAAUCUUCAAUAUUCUCAGUACGCGAAAUGAAGUUCUGUUACUGUUAUAUUCCAAGGGGCACAAAGAAGUGUCCUCAAGUUCAAUUUCAAAAGAUUUAAAAGCAACACAUAACAUGUUUUUGUUUUGCCUUUUCCUGGGGACCACUGAUCAGUUCCACUGAAGGAAUGUGCUCACACUUCAUCUUAAAAUGAAAUCCAGGGUAAUAGCAGGUUGGUUCAUAACAACCUAACAAUGUUGCUACAACAUAGCAGUUUUGGCAGAGGUGCGCCUUUCUUCUGAGCA
Daucus carota subsp. sativus is the source of this 4865-nucleotide RNA transcript. RefSeq lists it as uncharacterized. The transcript has 6 exons. Lineage: Eukaryota; Viridiplantae; Streptophyta; Magnoliopsida; Apiales; Apiaceae. The record is from RefSeq and is a predicted model, not a curated record.